UUGGAGUAUGCCAAGUCUGUCCUUGCCUCA
RNAcentral lists this non-coding RNA (30 nucleotides) under Mus musculus (house mouse). The record is from RNAcentral. Lineage: Eukaryota; Metazoa; Chordata; Mammalia; Rodentia; Muridae.